Long non-coding RNA from Homo sapiens (human), 1894 nucleotides. Ensembl annotates it as FGF10 antisense RNA 1. Its record names the gene FGF10-AS1. Lineage: Eukaryota; Metazoa; Chordata; Mammalia; Primates; Hominidae. The record is from Ensembl.
UGGAAGGGUAAGACCCGAUGCAAGGCAAGGAGAGAGCUCGAGGUGGUGGCUGCUGGUUAGCUCCCUCUGGGCGCGGAUCUGGCCAGAAGUGAAUGCACCAACAUCCAUAACUCCUCGGAAAAGCCGGCUGACUCCCCUCGCUCCUUUCUCGGAUCCGCUGCCUACGCCUCUGGAGCCUCCCGUGCCUGCACCUUUGUAACUGGUUACUUUAUUAAAGUCUCUUCACUUAAAUCAACUGGGAAGAAUUCUGUCCUACUCAGGACACUAACUUCAAACUGCAGUAUAUACCAUCACAGCUUCUUUGGUUUGACAGAACAUUUGGACACAUUUCUGCAAACGGACCCUUGGCAUCUCUUCUUGGAACAAAAUUUUGUAUUUGGACUCUGGCACCAUGCACCACAGAUGCAAGCAAGAAGCACUUCUACCUUCUGAGGCGGCCCCUCAAACUCAAGCCAGCUAGGCUAGGCCUGUCCAGCUUUCCUUCACAAAGAAGGAUUGGAGAGUUGCCGCUUACUGGCUUUCUCAAAUGUCAUUACUUAGCCAGUCUUCUGAAGAUUGAGAUUCAUGAACAUUGGACUCUUGCCUGUAAUUACAAUUCUUAAGUAUAUUAACCUUAUUUUCAGCUGUAUUUUUAGUUGCUUUCUGACUUCAUCUUGAAAAUACCUAUACUCUUUCUGCAUUUAUUCUAAUCUUACUUCUGAUCUUGAUUUUAAAAAGAUCUUUAUCAAUGAAAUCACCUCCAAGAACUAUUUUUGAACUUUAAGAUGUAUUCUUAAAUUUUUAGUAAAAUAGGAUUUAGAAUCAACUUUGUGAAGAUUACUAACAGAAAAAUGAAUAGCUCCUACCAUGAGGCAGUUUAUAGUUAAUGUAAAGAAUAUUAUACUUGUUUAUACAUGAAAAAGCCAUUUUCUUUCUCUAAACCUCAGAGAGCUAUAUAUAUUUAAUGAAUAAAUGAAUGUAUGAUGAAUGAAUUCCUGUCAGUCUUUAGCGAAGUCUUAUCUCUUAUUUGGAAUUCUUUCUUUAUCCCCUAUGUCUUCAUAAAUUCCAACCAAUAUCCAGGAUUAAUUCAAAUUCCUUACAAGGAUCUGAGAAGGGUUGGAGCUGUGGUAUGGGUAUGAUUGGUAGAUAGUUUUGAGCAACACUAUCACCAGAAAAUCUCUAUUUUUCUCCCAGUGACUUUUUGUUGAGGGUUGAAGAGUUUCCUUGAAGGCAAAAAAAAAAAAACUGUACUCAUCCAAAAUGUUACAGAUGUAACUUAUGGUUCAAUAGAAGCCUCUGCAAGCCAGGAUACAGAAAGAAACUUGAACCUUUGCAGAAGCUUGCAGAUUCAGCAACAGAGACUGAGAUAAGAAUGAAAUGGUAAUUCUGGGUAUGGUGUGGUGCCAAGUCCUGAAACCAGUCCCAAUAUACCUACCCUAGAAGCAUGUGGACAUCCUGAGGACAUGAAGGGCUCUAUGUGUGAUCCGGAAAAGGUGUUCCACUAUAUUCUAAAGUAUUUAUGGGCUGUGGUAGGCAGAGAAAAUUAUCCAGCAAAAAUUCAUGAAUUGUUACUGAAAAGUGACUUCUCAGAUAAGUAUUACAUUUCUCAGCUCUCGUCGUCAUUAAGCAUUACCAUGGUGACUCAGAUCUAUCCAGUGGAAUAUUGUAAGAAGUGAUGUUGCUAUUCAAGAUCUGGCUCAUGGAAGUGCUCCUCUGUGAUCUUCUCUCUUUUUUUUCUGCUGCCUAUAAUAAAAACUUCUCCCAGGGAACUUUGGAAGUCUCAUGCAGAAGACAGCAGAAACUUCACCAAUCUGGGUCUCUGUGUGACUGAAAGUAUAAGAGAUGGCAGACCCAUCUACCUGUUCUCUCACCUUUUAGUGUCACAUGAUCAAGAAAUACACUUCUAUUGUCGAGA